RNAcentral lists this ribosomal RNA (484 nucleotides) under uncultured bacterium. Its description in RNAcentral is "partial 16S ribosomal RNA". It matches the Rfam family "Bacterial small subunit ribosomal RNA", at positions 30 to 507 of the family's 1533-position model. The record is from RNAcentral.
AUUGAACGCUGGCGGCAGGCCUAACACAUGCAAGUCGAGCGGAUGAAGGGAGCUUGCUCCUGGAUUCAGCGGCGGACGGGUGAGUAAUGCCUAGGAAUCUGCCUGGUAGUGGGGGAUAACGUCCGGAAACGGGCGCUAAUACCGCAUACGUCCUGAGGGAGAAAGUGGGGGAUCUUCGGACCUCACGCUAUCAGAUGAGCCUAGGUCGGAUUAGCUAGUUGGUGGGGUAAAGGCCUACCAAGGCGACGAUCCGUAACUGGUCUGAGAGGAUGAUCAGUCACACUGGAACUGAGACACGGUCCAGACUCCUACGGGAGGCAGCAGUGGGGAAUAUUGGACAAUGGGCGAAAGCCUUAUCCAGCCAUGCCGCGUGUGUGAAGAAGGUCUUCGGAUUGUAAAGCACUUUAAGUUGGGAGGAAGGGAAGUAAGUUAAUCCCUUGCUGUUUUGACGUUACCAACAGAAUAAGCACCGGCUAACUUCGUG